Molecule: long non-coding RNA, 1837 nt
Organism: Oncorhynchus keta (chum salmon)
Lineage: Eukaryota; Metazoa; Chordata; Actinopteri; Salmoniformes; Salmonidae
Exons: 4
Source: RefSeq, a predicted model, not a curated record
CGAGAAUUUCCUCCCUACACGCAAAUACGAGCAUUUCUGCAUCUCACUGGUAGAAAUGGGCCAUCUAAAUUUCCUGGCUGUAAGCGAACCACAAUAUUCAUAAUUCAUUGAGAUUUCACGAUGUAGUACCGCCCCUGUCAAAGUGGAUCCAAUUGAGAAUGGGUAUCAAAAGAGAACAACUGUAAAAUGAGUGUGGUGCUCUGUACUUGGAUGUGCAAACUACAAGCAAGCACAGGCUGUUGGGGUAACAUUUCAUUGGUUACCUUACUAAGAAGUCAAGCAGAGAGUCCAAUUCCAUCAACAUCUAUAGCAGCAUAAACAUCGAGCUAAGCACCAGGACCCUUUGCUAAAUCUUUCCAUGACUCCACGAUGAGCAAAUAAAUAUACUGGAGGUUAUGAGAAUCUACCAUCUGAAGCUGAAGCAAUAUUCCUUGACCCAAGGACUGUACUUGAAAUGAUACAAGAUCAGUCCUUAUCAACCGGUGGAACGGAAGAAGAAUUCCUCACUACCAGCAGACUGUCCGAACAUAAUUUCUAAUAGUUAUCUAUGUGGGAUUGAUACCAGUGUGGAAGAGCUGGUCACUUUUAAAAUACUUGCCAAUUGGACGAUUUAAUAUUAUUGUCUUCCUGCUUAUACAUGAUGUGGUAAGAAUCGUAAGCGACAUCAUCAUUACACAUGUCAAUACUUAUUUUAUAUAACUUUGUUUGAAAUCUAUUUCUUAUUGUAAAGCAAGUAGAAUAUGCCCUUUGUGUUUUAUAGAAAUGCAAGGUGUUUAAUGUGAAUGAUUUUAUGCUUACUGCUAAUGUUUUUUUAUACUGUCUAUUUUUUAAUGUUUUCUAUUGUUUUCUAAAAAUACAUUUAAAGUAUAUUUAUUUUUAAAAUGGGGGGAGUGUAAGAAUAUUUAGAAGAUAAAUACACAAUGUAGAGGACGAGAGGUCAAUAGAGUACAAACGGUCAAGAGGACUAAAAAGCCAAUAGAGUACUAACGAUCAAUGGAAAUUGUGUUUUUUUCUGUAGUAGGGGAUUAAUGAUCAAUGGGUGUCACGAGAAUUUUCAAUCCCAAUGAUAAUAACAAUCAAUCAAUAGCUUUGACAAAAUCCCCGAGGUUUAUAAGACCAUGGGUUUAAUAAUAAUUAGUCAAAGACAGUUUAGUACAGUUUAUUCACGAGAACGUUCUAAACUCAAUAAUAGACAAACAUCAAUUUGAUUGCUGCGCACAUACUUCCACACACAAACAGUAGGUAUCCUACGCACAUACUGUAUCACUAGCCAGCCGACAAAGAUUAGGGAGACCUUGAGACGUACUCCCUGUCCUCUCCCAAAUCUCUAGUCAGGUCGGUACCGAAUUUUGCUCAGACAGUCUGUGUUUAAGAUACGAUAAAGACAUAUUGUACAGAUACAUUGUAAAACUACACUCACAGAUAUAUAAUUUUACUGACUAAAACUACACACAUCAUUAGAAUAAUUUCAUGAUUCUAAUCUAUUUUAUACAAUUAUAUGGUUUCAGGGUGGAAUAUUCUAAUCAUUAAUUUAAACAUAUAAAUUCCAUUAUCAAUGGGUCAGAGACAUGGGAGUCCGGGACUCAUAGCUACAUGGUAAGUUCUCAUUGGUCCAAAUUGUUUAUACAUUGAGCCUGAAAUAUGAUACUUGUUAUUUGGCCAUUGUCCCAGCUAAUUGCAAGGAAUUCUAAUUGGUCAACCACAGGCUAGGGUUGGGUUAUAAAACUACAUCUUGUCCCUUUGUUCUGUGGAGAGAAGCAUUGAGGACCGGGGAGAAUGAACAUCUACCUCCACGCAUGAUUUGUUCUCUUUGAAUAAACCUAUUUUCCUCCCCCUG